Benincasa hispida (wax gourd) is the source of this 666-nucleotide long non-coding RNA. RefSeq lists it as uncharacterized. The record is from RefSeq and is a predicted model, not a curated record. Lineage: Eukaryota; Viridiplantae; Streptophyta; Magnoliopsida; Cucurbitales; Cucurbitaceae.
UCGUAUUUCUCCAAAGCCACCACAAUGUCGCUGAAAUCCGGCCGCUUCGACGGAUUCGCCGCCCAACACCGCUUAAUCAGGUGGGCUAGUGCCGGCUGACAACUCGCCGGUAAUGGGGGCCUCUCAUUCUGCCCAAUUCAAAUAAAGUAUCGAAAUCAGCAUUACUUGUGGAAGGGGGAGUUUGAGAUUUGGUACCUUCUCGGCGACGGCAAAGGCAGCUUGCACGGGGGUCAUCCCUUGAAAGGGAAGCAGAGCCGUGGUGAGCUCCCACAGCACAAUUCCAAAGCUGUACACAUCAACUUUGCGAGUAUAAGGCUUCUCCUUGAUCAUCUCCGGCGCCAUCCAUCGGAAGUACGUUGGCCAACCUUCAAAUAUCUGCCUGCUAACUCCGGUCGCCACUCUUUGGCAACAAUCGUCGGCCAACUCCGAUCGACACUUCCGACGAGAGGCAACUUCGAAUGCCACCUUGAUGACCGUCGUCGGCCAACCUCUGGCCCUACCUUGGUGCCCAACAACCAAUCUCCAAUUGUCACUAGUCAACUCCAAUCACCAUCGACCAACCUUGGGCAACCUGCCUUCCCUCCUCCCCCAGUGAAAUUUCGGCCAACCUCAGACAGCCACCAACGAACCUUGAAAAACAUUAAUAAAAAUACUCUUAGUAUAUAA